RNAcentral lists this ribosomal RNA (372 nucleotides) under uncultured organism. RNAcentral describes it as "bacterial SSU rRNA". It matches the Rfam family "Bacterial small subunit ribosomal RNA", at positions 527 to 896 of the family's 1533-position model. The record is from RNAcentral.
CGGGGGGGCAAGCGUUGUUCGGAAUUACUGGGCGUAAAGGGUGCGUAGGCGGCUUUCUAAGUUGGAUGUGAAAACUCUGGGCUCAACCCAGAGACUGCAUCCAAAAACUGGAGAGCUUGGGUUCUGGAGGGGAAAGCGGAAUUCCUGGUGUAGCGGUGAAAUGCGUAGAUAUCAGGAGGAACACCGGUGGCGAAGGCGGCUUUCUGGACAGAUACCGACGCUGAGGCACGAAAGCUAGGGGAGCAAACAGGAUUAGAUACCCUGGUAGUCCUAGCCCUAAACGAUGGAUACUUGCUGUGAGGGGGAUUGAAACCCUUUGUGGCGAAGCUAACGCAUUAAGUAUCCCGCCUGGGGAGUACGGUCGCAAGGCUG